This 253-nucleotide ribosomal RNA is filed under the name uncultured bacterium. RNAcentral's name for it is "partial 16S ribosomal RNA". It matches the Rfam family "Bacterial small subunit ribosomal RNA", at positions 524 to 776 of the family's 1533-position model. The record is from RNAcentral.
GACGUAGGGUGCAAGCGUUGUCCGGAAUCACUGGGCGUAAAGCGCGCGUAGGUGGCUUCGUAAGUCCGUUGUGAAAGUCAAAGGCUCAACCUUUGAAAGCCGAUGGAUACUGCGGAGCUAGAGUACGGAAGAGGCGAGUGGAAUUCCUGGUGUAGCGGUGGAAUGCGCAGAUAUCAGGAGGAACACCAAUAGCGAAGGCAGCUCGCUGGGACGUUACUGACACUAAGGCGCGAAAGCGUGGGGAGCGAACAGG